AAGAUUCGAAGCUGCCGCAGGUUCGAGUUGAGCGCAGCGAAACAACGGAGCCGCUCGCGGCGACGGCCCGAAGGGCGAGCGAAGCGAGUCAUCCU
RNAcentral lists this small RNA (95 nucleotides) under Escherichia coli. RNAcentral's name for it is "RtT sRNA". It matches the Rfam family "RtT RNA", at positions 19 to 117 of the family's 130-position model. From Rfam's summary of the family: This family represents a bacterial cis-regulatory element known as RtT RNA. The exact function of RtT is unknown although it is thought that it may be involved in changing the cellular response in relation to amino acid starvation. The record is from RNAcentral. Lineage: Bacteria; Pseudomonadati; Pseudomonadota; Gammaproteobacteria; Enterobacterales; Enterobacteriaceae.